GGUAUACUGUGACAGUAUCUGCAUACAAAUAAAUCCAACAAAUUCAAAAUAAUAAUAAAAAAAUUACAAAAGCAGCAAAAGAAAUCCAACACGCAUCAAGAAACUGAUAAGGCUCCACCUAGAAUGUACAUAAUCGGCCCCACUGGUCUCCCUCUCCUGAAUGGACGAGGUUGACGUCCCGUUAUAAUUCGGGUUCUUACCGUAAAGCUGCUGUAUCCCGUCGAUAUCGUCUUGCGCCAAUUCAACCUUUCUCGUUCGUGAAGGAAUGCUAGGGUACAUGAUCGCCUCUUCAACGGAGGAAUGUCCCAACCCUAACAAAUGCCCAAUUUCGUGCACGGCAACUGACUCUAGAUCCACCGCCGAUAAUAUCGGCGAGGUGCUAACAUCGCCGGAGUCCACCCAGUUCUCAUCGAGGUCCAAAUGAAGCCGCCCGCUUGGCGGGGAGAAAGCGUGGGCCAAAGUCCCCAAAACCCCAUCAAACGGCUCUCCGUCACCGUGGUCACCACUAAAAAACCCGAUCCUGAUAUCGGCGGUGGUGAAAGAAUCGGUCUGCGUGAAAGUCAUAGGUAUGACUGUUGACCAGCGGUCAAAAGCGCGUGCGAAGACGCUCUUCUCCUCUUCAGUCAAUUCGUUACCGGGGAAAAACGAGUAAGUCAGAUCUCGUUUGCUGUCUGGCCAGUGUGGAUUGCCGGGAAAGAACGUGUAGUGACCGACGGUGUGGAAGAGAGAGGUGCUGUUAAACGCCAUCCACUUGCCGGAGUUCAUGGUGGUGGUACCGUUAACUAUAUCGGCGUUGCCGCAUCUUGGCUGUACAAGCUUGUUAAGCGUUUGCUGGUCGAGCUCACCAGUGACGUUAAGAUUGAAAUUUUGUUGAUAGGUUUUGAGAGCAGACUCAAAAGCGUCGUCAAAAUCGUCGGUGAAGUUAGAGGGGGAAUUAGGAAUGUAGCCGAAGUAAUGAAAGUACUGCUUGAGCUUGGAUAAGCCAUCGAAAUUUUCGCCGGCGCGGCAGCCAGCAAAUUUCUUGAAGGAGUCCCAAGCAGGGGCUGUGGCGUUAGGGACAAAACCCGGUGGAAUUGAUGAAACGUUGGGGAAGAAUCUAGCGGAGAUUGGUGGUAACAUAAGUAAGAGUAAACCUGCAAUCGCAAAAAGUUGCAACCUCAUGUUGUUAUGCUUCCCGUUUGAAUUGACAGAGAAAUGGAGAAUACAGACAAAG
This 1213-nucleotide unclassified non-coding RNA is filed under the name Hevea brasiliensis (rubber tree). The record is from RNAcentral. Lineage: Eukaryota; Viridiplantae; Streptophyta; Magnoliopsida; Malpighiales; Euphorbiaceae.